CAAAACUUUCAACAACGGAUCUCUUGGCUCUGGCAUCGAUGAAGAACGCAGCGAAACGCGAUAAGUAAUGUGAAUUGCAGAAUCCAGUGAAUCAACGAAUCUUUGAACGCACAUUGCGCCCGCCAGCAUUCUGGCGGGCAUGCCUGUUCGAGC
RNAcentral lists this ribosomal RNA (153 nucleotides) under Beauveria bassiana. RNAcentral describes it as "5.8S ribosomal RNA". It matches the Rfam family "5.8S ribosomal RNA". Rfam says of the family: 5.8S ribosomal RNA (5.8S rRNA) is a component of the large subunit of the eukaryotic ribosome. It is transcribed by RNA polymerase I as part of the 45S precursor that also contains 18S and 28S rRNA. Lineage: Eukaryota; Fungi; Ascomycota; Sordariomycetes; Hypocreales; Cordycipitaceae. The record is from RNAcentral.